Oryza sativa Japonica Group (Japanese rice) is the source of this 314-nucleotide non-coding RNA. NCBI's taxonomy places the organism in Eukaryota, Viridiplantae, Streptophyta, Magnoliopsida, Poales, Poaceae. The record is from RefSeq and is a predicted model, not a curated record.
GCCUCGAUCCGCGGUUGUUCCCGCCGGAGAUGGAUGGAUCCCGCCGGCGGCGGCGCCCGGAGCCGUCCGGUCUCUGCCUCUCUCCCUCCCUUUCGCGUGGUGUUCGAGCGGCGAUCGCAUCGCCGGCGGCGGCAAAGUAACAGUAAAGCGUCGAGAUUACUUUCAAGUGGUCUCUAUCGGAUCAAUUUGGCAUUGCUCACGAGGAUUUGCUGCUGUGUCGUCUUUUGUCGCCACAUUUUUUUCUUGCCCCUUGUCAAGAAACUAAACAUGUUCCAAGGAUGCAAUCAGGUAUGAACAAGACUAAGGUUUAUUUA